This 114-nucleotide ribosomal RNA is filed under the name Methylothermaceae bacteria B42. RNAcentral also lists the same sequence under 1 other name. Lineage: Bacteria; Pseudomonadati; Pseudomonadota; Gammaproteobacteria; Methylococcales; Methylothermaceae. The record is from RNAcentral.
CCUGGUGGCCAUAGAGCGCUGGAACCACCCGAUCCCAUCUCGAACUCGGCAGUGAAACAGCGCAUCGCCGAUGAUAGUGGAGCCCGUCUCCGUGAAAGUAGGUCACCGCCAGGC